Molecule: long non-coding RNA, 405 nt
Filed under: Citrus sinensis (sweet orange)
Lineage: Eukaryota; Viridiplantae; Streptophyta; Magnoliopsida; Sapindales; Rutaceae
Description: long non-coding RNA (CSIN_LNC003763)
Source: RNAcentral
GAAGGACUUUCUGAACGAUCGGGCCGACUCGUGGGGGUCCUGAUGCUUCUGAACAUUGAAGGCCUUUCUGAAUGUUCGGGCCGACUCGUGGGGGUCCUGAUGCUUCCUGAAUGAUCGGGUCUACUCGUGGGGGUCCUGAUGCUUCUGAACAUUGAAGGACUAUCUGAAUGUUCGGGCCGACUCGUGGUAGUUCCUUGGGUGCUGAUGCUUCUGAACGUUGAAGGACUUUCUGAAUGAUCGGGCUGACUCGUGGCAAUCCCUUGGGUGCUGAUGCUUCUGAACAUUGACUGCAAUCAAUUGCAGGUCAAUACAAGUUUUAUAAAUAGGCAAUUAAUUUCAAAAAUUAAAAUCUUCAAUUAGUAUAUAGGUGAAUGUUUUUUUAGUGCGUUAUAUUUUGAAUUAAGU